GUGGCAUCCCUGUUGGACUUUCCUUUCUAGAAGGAAGCAUCGGGCCCGAGAUUUCUGGAUCUCCUAAGCGGAAUUUGCUCUGAGGCCUGCGUCACACACACGCCCGGGCUGUGUAAGGAAGGAAUGUGGAAAAGAGUUUGAUUUUGAUAAAGGUGUCAUGGAGGAGGGGAGCCCUCUCAUUCCGAGAGCGCUGUUCCGGGCACAAGUUUGUUUGCAGGGCCUGAAAUUCAGCUUAUCUCCAGAAGCAUGAAGCCCAGAGAAACAGCAGAAAUGGAGAAGGGUUUAUAUUCCUGUUCCUUUGGUUUGAAGAACUGAACUCUAAUCUCAUUUCCCGCCAUCCCUCCCUCCCCACCCCCAAAUCCUCAAGCUAAAGCUGAUCAAGACCUACCUGGGGAAUGAAAAGCUAGUCCCACACCUGGGAGAAUUACUACUCAGUGAGCUGGGGAGAUAAGCAAGUUUGUGGCACUCUCGUCAUCGUCUCAUCUGAUCCUUACAGUCGCCUGUGCAGCAGUGUUUCCACGUUUUCAGAAGUGGUUGGGAGAAGUGACGUGCUGAGUUCGAGGUCCACGGUGAUCGCUAACAUCUCCUGCGUUAACAAAGCAUAUGCCUGGGAGUAGAAUGCUCAUUCGGAUGACUUUCCAAGUUUCACCUUCGAGGGACUGCUGGACUCUACCAUCUCCCAUCCUCCCAGCGGUGUCUGAGGAUUCUUAUCUCCCCACAUCCUACCCUAGUCUCAUCUGGUACCACUCUGCUCCUGGGUCUCCAGGCUCUAACCUCUGACGCCUGUAGGAUUUUCCCGGACCAGGGAUCAAACCCAUGUCCCCUGCAUUGACAGGCAGAUUCCUUACCAGUGAGCCACCAAGACCACCAAAUGGAAGAUCUUAAAGGUGCCUGUGAUUCUAACCUUAAUCAGACCCAGUGUCUCAUUGUCUAUCCUGAAAUGAAAUUCACAAAUAGUAUAACCUGCUUAUAGAGUGAAAACACAUAGAGGUAAUUCUCAAACUCUAAAACAGAGGAGAAUAAGUGAAAAGUAAUUUAUAAGAAAGUUAUAUGUAUUAUAGUGCUGGAAGUCCCAGUGAAGUAGCCAGGGGCUUGAACUGAACAGGUGGACGCUCUGUGAAGGUGACGGCUGCACACGCAGGUAGAGCGAGGUGUGGGGUGUUGACCCCUCGUGUGCCACCAGCACGGUGAGUGGAGAUGCUGCCAGUACUGAUGCUCCAGAAGAAUGACCAAUGGGAGCGCCCACGCAGAGUCCAGCUCAGUCUUCUCUCAGUUUACACGGUCGCUGCGUUUCAGGAAAGUACAGUGUGUGUUUAAACCAAGCAAAAACCAGUCUGUGUUUAAAUGUAAAAUAGAGUUGUUUUCUAGGUUGACCGAACUGUUCCUGGGAAGAACCACCAGGAUAUACUCUUGCCUCGGGCUGAAACGUUCUUCCUCCACCCUUUGACCACGUGCUUCACCUAUUCUUGUUUUAAAAAAUAUUUAUUUAUGUAUUUGGCUGUGUUAGGUCUUAGCUGAGGCACACAAGAUCUUCGCUGCAACCUGCUGGAUCUUUUGUUGCGGUGCACGGACUUGCUAGCUGUGGCACGUGGGCUUAGCUGCUCUGUAGCACGUGGGAUCCUAGUUCCCUGACCAGGGACUGAACCUGAGUCCCCUACAUUGCCAAGCAAAUUCUUAACCACCAGACCACCAGGGAAGUCCCUCAAGUCCAACUUGGAAGGUGCUUCCUCAAGAGAACCUUUCUAGCUUCUGCUACUUCUUCACUGUAUUUAACAUAUUUAAGACCAUUUGCAAGUGUACAUUUAUCCGUUCUCUUUCUGUUCAUGUCCGCCUCUCAGCUGGACUCGAACUCCAUGAGGUCUGGACUUGAGACUUUCCUAUCAUUGUAUCCCCAGCCCUUAACUCGUGCCUGGUAUGCAAAUAUCUGCUGCACGAAUACAAUAGUGCUCCUGUCUGCCUCCUUUGUUGUCCUGGGACUUCUUAGAAGACAUUAUUGUGCCAAAUUUAUCUGUGUCCUCAGUGCUAAAGAUAGUUCUUCCUUUUAUGUGGAAAACAGUGGUCAAAUAUUUAAUGAGCAAAUAAAAGCAAAAGCACAAUUGGGCUUCCAACGUCCUAAUGAAUGAGCUGAGGACACAGUACAAGGUGUUUUGGUAAAUCCUCCAGAAAGUGCCGUCAUCCCGGGUCAUGCUGAAGUCCUCUUUAUAGCUGUGGUUUCAAUAGGGAACCUUCAUUUUAACUGUGUUAAUAAUUAUUUGAGCUCUAGCGGUUGUAUAACAAACCACCCCAAACCUUCGUGGCUGCGUGUAACGGAGAGCUGGUUGUGUCUUAUGAUUCUGUGGGUUGGCAAUCUGGUGGCUGUACUGGCCUCUCGUGACCACAGUCAUCUGACAGUUUGAUGAGGACUUGAGGGUCCAGGUGGCCACACUCAGGCACCCGGUAGUGAUCUGGUGUUAGCUUGGGUGCCGUGGUUCUCGUUCACAUGGACAUCCAUCUUCUAGGAGGCUAACCCGGGCCUCUUCACCAUUCGAGGGUCCAAGAAGGUGAAGGCAAAGACAGAAGGUGCGAGGCGAAGGCUGCUUCCGAAGCUGCGCAGCCAUCACCUCUGCCGUGAUCUGUUGGUCAAAGCAGGUCACGGAUUCAUG
This is a long non-coding RNA of Bos taurus (domestic cattle), 2642 nucleotides long. Lineage: Eukaryota; Metazoa; Chordata; Mammalia; Artiodactyla; Bovidae. The record is from Ensembl.